GCUGGAAUAGCUCAGUGGUAUAGAGUGUUUACCCAGCAUGCACAAGGUCCUGGGUUCAAUCCCCAGCACCACA
RNAcentral lists this transfer RNA (73 nucleotides) under Marmota monax (woodchuck). RNAcentral describes it as "tRNA.Ala". The record is from RNAcentral. Lineage: Eukaryota; Metazoa; Chordata; Mammalia; Rodentia; Sciuridae.